RNAcentral lists this ribosomal RNA (403 nucleotides) under Verrucomicrobiota bacterium. RNAcentral describes it as "Verrucomicrobia bacterium partial 16S ribosomal RNA". It matches the Rfam family "Bacterial small subunit ribosomal RNA", at positions 355 to 776 of the family's 1533-position model. Lineage: Bacteria; Pseudomonadati; Verrucomicrobiota. The record is from RNAcentral.
UGGGGAAUGUUUCACAAUGGGGGAAACCCUGAUGCAGCGACGCCGCGUGAGCGAAGAAGGUUUUCGAAUCGUAAAGCUCUGUCCUAUGAGAAGAUAAUGACGGUAUCAUAGGAGGAAGCCCCGGCUAAAUACGUGCCAGCAGCCGCGGUAAUACGUAUGGGGCGAGCGUUGUCCGGAAUUAUUGGGCGUAAAGGGUACGUAGGCGGUCUAUUAAGUCAGGUGUGAAAGCGUGAGGCUUAACCUCAUUAAGCACUUGAAACUGAUAGACUUGAGGGAAGGAGAGGAAAGUGGAAUUCCUAGUGUAGCGGUGAAAUGCGUAGAUAUUAGGAGGAAUACCGGUGGCGAAGGCGACUUUCUGGACUUUUACUGACGCUCAGGUACGAAAGCGUGGGGAGCAAACAGG